This 253-nucleotide ribosomal RNA is filed under the name uncultured bacterium. RNAcentral's name for it is "partial 16S ribosomal RNA". It matches the Rfam family "Bacterial small subunit ribosomal RNA", at positions 524 to 776 of the family's 1533-position model. The record is from RNAcentral.
UACGGGGGGGGCAAGCGUUGUUCGGAAUCACUGGGCUUAAAGGGCGCGUAGGCGGGUCGAAAAGUCCGCGGUGAAAUCCCCCCGCUCAACGGGGGAACGGCCGCGGAUACUGUCGGCCUCGAGGGGGGUAGGGGCGAGCGGAACGCUGGGUGGAGCGGUGAAAUGCGUUGAUAUCCAGCGGAACUCCGGUGGCGAAGGCGGCUCGCUGGACCUUCACUGACGCUGAGGCGCGAAAGCCAGGGGAGCAAACGGG